Zonotrichia leucophrys gambelii is the source of this 927-nucleotide long non-coding RNA. RefSeq lists it as uncharacterized. The record is from RefSeq and is a predicted model, not a curated record. The transcript has 5 exons. Lineage: Eukaryota; Metazoa; Chordata; Aves; Passeriformes; Passerellidae.
CUGCUUUGUGUCGGCAGCAACUUGUGAGUGUCUGCAGGAAUCCUACAGGUACAUCCAUCCGCCUUAUCCCCCUGCAGAGUUAGAACACUCAGCACUAAAUAAGGGAUUGAUCCAGCACCACCAUCCUGCAGACAGAGGUUUGUGGGAUGACUUUCACCACCACCACGGUUUGCGAAGUAAUGAGGGAGGACCAAGAUGUGUCAAAUGCCAUCCCAGAAAGGCUCUCCUUGAUCCUGAUUUUAGGAGAAGCUUCCUGAAAACAACAUGACAAGUGUCGUUUGUCCCGUCACAGUCAGCCUGUGUCCCAUCAAGUCACCCUCAACAGAUCUGCAACCAGAUUUGAGAGUUAAUCACAGCAGCUUUGCCCUUGCUGCAUGAGGCCUUUGACCCAAAACUCUGGUGGAGGAUUGAGAUGAGCUGGAAUUAAGGUCCUGGAGCAGGAUAAGGUCCCACCUUCUGGAUUCUGGGGUCUGUUCCUCUCCUUGGAGAAGCCAACAGGAAGAAGUCUCCACAAGGUCAGGUGAAUUCAAAUAUUUCUGCAAUUUUUUGUCCUUUUCCAAGCCCCAUUCCUGCUACUGGAGUCGUGUUCCCAUUCCUGUGAUGGGUGGGAAUCUGUCCCUUCCCAAACCUUCACCAUCCCAGCUGUCCUGAGGAGGAUCUGAUCCACAGCUCCCAGAAAUGGCAGCAGCCAGGGCAGCUCUGAGGUUCCAUCCAGCUGGAAUUACAGCAAACCCUGCAAAAGGGACCCUCCAAAGGGAUCCCUGAUGUCCUGUGACAGGGACUGCCCUCAUUUCCAACCUGUUUGCAGAGGCUCUGACAGUGGCUGAGCUGCAAUGAGGGAAGCAAUAAACAGGCUCCUUGGCCACUAAUGAGGAAUUAAUUGAACACUUGUUUUUCAUUUCCCUCUUCCUUGCCCAGGACUGAGCC